Molecule: ribosomal RNA, 311 nt
Filed under: uncultured Fusibacter sp.
Lineage: Bacteria; Bacillati; Bacillota; Clostridia; Eubacteriales; Fusibacteraceae
Description: bacterial SSU rRNA
Rfam family: Bacterial small subunit ribosomal RNA
Source: RNAcentral
AGAUGUUGGGUUAAGUCCCGCACGAGCGCAACCCUUGUGUUAGUUGCAAACAGGUCAAGCUGUGCACUCUAGACAGACUGCCGUGGACAACACGGAGGAAGGUGGGGAUGACGUCAAAUCAUCAUGCCCCUUAUGAUCUGGGCUACACACGUGCUACAAUGGCCGGUACAACGGGCAGCGAAGGAGCGAUCCGGAGCGAAUCCUAAAAAGCCGGUCCCGGUUCGGAUUGCAGGCUGAAACUCGCCUACAUGAAGUUGGAGUUGCUAGUAAUCGCGAAUCAGAAUGUCGCGGUGAAUGCGUUCCCGGGUCUU